AGUGAACGCUGGCGGUAGGCCUAACACAUGCAAGUCGAACGGCAGCACAGUAAGAGCUUGCUCUUACGGGUGGCGAGUGGCGGACGGGUGAGGAAUACAUCGGAAUCUACUUUUUCGUGGGGGAUAACGUAGGGAAACUUACGCUAAUACCGCAUACGACCUACGGGUGAAAGCAGGGGAGCUUCGGACCUUGCGCGAGUGAAUGAGCCGAUGUCGGAUUAGCUAGUUGGCGGGGUAAAGGCCCACCAAGGCGACGAUCCGGAGCUGGUCUGAGAGGAUGAUAAGCCACACUGGAACUGAGACACGGUCCCGACUCCUACGGGAGGCAGCAGUGGGGAAUAUUGGACAAUGGGCGCGAGCCUGAUCCAGCCAUCCCGCGUGGGUGAAGAAGGCCUUCGGGUUGUAAAGCCCUUUUGUUGGGAAAGAAAAGCAGCAGGUUAAUACCCCGCUGUUCUGACGGUACCCAAAGAAUAAGCACCGGCUAACUUCGUG
Molecule: ribosomal RNA, 492 nt
Filed under: uncultured bacterium
Lineage: Bacteria
Description: partial 16S ribosomal RNA
Rfam family: Bacterial small subunit ribosomal RNA
Source: RNAcentral